GAGAGGUUAGAAAUUUGGAUUAUUAUGUAAAUCUCUCUUUAUAAAUACAUUACAUUAAAAUUUAAAAAAUGCAGGUGGGACAAAAAAACUCUGUUGUAAAAUUCCAAUCCAUGUGCUCUGGUGUGUGCAGCUCAGAUCAUAACAAUCACAAUAGACACACACACUUAGAGCAUUUGCUGUGUGCCACGAAGACACCAAUUCAUUCCACCCUUACAAUAAUCCUAUGAAGUCACUAUUACUAUUAUCCUUGUCUUCAAUAUUGUAAUUGUUUUUCUCACCUCCUCAGGGCCUAUCCCUUUUUUUAAGAUAAGGAUACUCUACAGAGAGAGGUUAAGUAUGUUACCCUAAAUUGCACAGCUAGGAAGUGCCCAAGUGGGGAUUUAAACUUAAGUCACCUGUCCUCGGAGGCAGUCCUGAAAGAUUCUUGCCUACAGGGGCUGCUGCAUCUGACUCUGCAGUUGUGCAUGUCACGGCCACUGGGAAAUGGUGCCCUCUGAAGUUGUGCAAUGCUAUAGUCCCAUAACAACGUUUUUUUUUUUUUGUUUUUUGUUUUUUUUCAGAGUCUCUCUCUGUUGCCUAGGCUGGAGUGCAGUGGUAUGAUCUUAGCUCACUGCAACCUCUGCCUCCUGGGCUCAAGCUAUUCUCCUGCCUCAGCCUCCUGAGUAACCGAAAUUACAGCUGUGUGCCACCACGCCUGGCUAAUUUUUGUAUUUUUAGUAGAGAUGGGAUUUCACCAUGUUGGCCAGGCCAGGCCAGUCUUGAACUCCCUACCUCAAGUGAUCUGCCCGCCUCGGCUUCCCAAAGUGCUGAGAUUACAGUCAUGAGCCACCACGCCCAGCCAACAAUGGUUCUUUGUUGCAUGGAAACUCUAGAGGGGCUAUGUAGACAAGGACAAGGGCCGCCGUGGUGUUUUUCUGGGUGGACUGAUAGCUGAGGACCAGAUUCUCCCACCCUCACCCCACUUCCAUGCUGAAGGUUGCAGGACUGUGCUACAAACCCUGGAAGGACUGAGAUGACAUAUUCCAUGGGCACAGUGGCCUGGAGGACCAAAGGCUGAGGUAAUAGGAUGUGGUGAGUUGAAUUAUGUCUCCCCCAAAAACAAUUUGUCCAUCUGAAACCUCAGAAUAUGACCUUAUUUGGAAGGAGAGGCUUUGUACAUGUGAUUAAGGUCAGAAUCUGGAGAUGAGGUUAUCCUGGAUGAGAGUGGGCCCUAAGGCCAAUGAGAUAGAAAAGGAGAAGACAUACAGAGACACGGGAAGAAACCCAUGCACAUGAAGAUGGAGGCAGAGAUUGGAGUGGGGCAGCCACAGCCACGGAUCACCAGGAACCACCAGAAGCUGGAGGAGGCCAGGAAGGGCGUGCUAGAGGGAGCACAGCUCUGCUAACAACUUGAUUUUGGACUUGAGGCCUCCAAAACUGUGAGCAGGUGCUCAAUUAAUGUCUGGGGAGAAAAGGAAGUAAGAAAAGGAAGGAAAGAAGGAAUGAGGAUGGCCAGGCGGGGUGGCUCACGCCUGUAAACCAGCACUUUGGGAGGUCGAGGUGGGCAGAUCACGAGGUCAUGAGACUG
Molecule: long non-coding RNA, 1567 nt
Filed under: Homo sapiens (human)
Lineage: Eukaryota; Metazoa; Chordata; Mammalia; Primates; Hominidae
Description: HSALNT0401885
Source: RNAcentral